Molecule: ribosomal RNA, 832 nt
Filed under: uncultured Moraxella sp.
Lineage: Bacteria; Pseudomonadati; Pseudomonadota; Gammaproteobacteria; Moraxellales; Moraxellaceae
Description: bacterial SSU rRNA
Rfam family: Bacterial small subunit ribosomal RNA
Source: RNAcentral
GGCGGCAGGCUUACACAUGCAAGUCGAACGAAGUUAGGAAGCUUGCUUCUGAUACUUAGUGGCGGACGGGUGAGUAAUGCUUAGGAAUCUGCCUAGUAGUGGGGGAUAACUUGGGGAAACCCAAGCUAAUACCGCAUACGACCUACGGGUGAAAGGGGGCUUUUAGCUCUCGCUAUUAGAUGAGCCUAAGUCGGAUUAGCUGGUUGGUGGGGUAAAGGCCUACCAAGGCGACGAUCUGUAGCUGGUCUGAGAGGAUGAUCAGCCACACUGGGACUGAGACACGGCCCAGACUCCUACGGGAGGCAGCAGUGGGGAAUAUUGGACAAUGGGCGAAAGCCUGAUCCAGCCAUGCCGCGUGUGUGAAGAAGGCCUUUUGGUUGUAAAGCACUUUAAGUGGGGAGGAAAAGCUUAUGGUUAAUACCCAUAAGCCCUGACGUUACCCACAGAAUAAGCACCGGCUAACUCUGUGCCAGCAGCCGCGGUAAUACAGAGGGUGCAAGCGUUAAUCGGAAUUACUGGGCGUAAAGCGCGCGUAGGUGGUUAUUUAAGUCAGAUGUGAAAGCCCCGGGCUUAACCUGGGAACUGCAUCUGAUACUGGAUAACUAGAGUAGGUGAGAGGGGAGUAGAAUUCCAGGUGUAGCGGUGAAAUGCGUAGAGAUCUGGAGGAAUACCGAUGGCGAAGGCAGCUCCCUGGCAUCAUACUGACACUGAGGUGCGAAAGCGUGGGUAGCAAACAGGAUUAGAUACCCUGGUAGUCCACGCCGUAAACGAUGUCUACCAGUCGUUGGGUCUUUUAAAGACUUAGUGACGCAGUUAACGCAAUAAGUAGACC